CCCCUACGGGGCGCAGCAGUAGGGAAUCUUCCACAAUGGACGAAAGUCUGAUGGAGCAACGCCGCGUGAGUGAAGAAGGGUUUCGGCUCGUAAAGCUCUGUUGGGAGUGAGGAAAGAUAGAGGCAGUAACUGGCCUUUAUUUGACGGUAAUUACUUAGAAAGUCACGGCUAACUACGUGCCAGCAGCCGCGUUAAUACGUAGGUGGCAAGCGUUGUCCGUAUUUCUUGGGCGUAAAGCG
RNAcentral lists this ribosomal RNA (239 nucleotides) under uncultured bacterium. RNAcentral's name for it is "partial 16S ribosomal RNA". It matches the Rfam family "Bacterial small subunit ribosomal RNA", at positions 336 to 567 of the family's 1533-position model. The record is from RNAcentral.